Molecule: non-coding RNA, 179 nt
Filed under: uncultured Succiniclasticum sp.
Lineage: Bacteria; Bacillati; Bacillota; Negativicutes; Acidaminococcales; Acidaminococcaceae
Description: 6S / SsrS RNA
Rfam family: 6S / SsrS RNA
About the family: E. coli 6S RNA was the first non coding RNA to be sequenced, but its function was unknown until recently. It consists of 184 nucleotides that fold into an extended hairpin structure with a large single-stranded internal bulge. The 6S RNA specifically associates with RNA polymerase holoenzyme containing the sigma70 specificity factor.
Source: RNAcentral
ACCCUGCGGUGUACGUCAGUCUCUUCUUUGCGUUGAGCCAACAUUUUUACCUAGGGAGCUCGGAAAAGUCGUGUCUUUCAAAAACCAGCCGCCUCGAGCGGACUUUUGCGAUCGGCAGCAGAGCACCCACCUGCAUUUGCAGGUUCAAACUUACGAAGUCAAACGGCAUUGUGGGGUAU